CACGGUGAAAUCUACAAUAUAACAUUUUACAAGAUAAUUAACUAACAUAUAAUUACAAUUACGCUAUGACAAUUAAUAUACACUUUAAACUUAUCCAAACACUAAAAUACUGAUUUACUGGUCAUAAACCAGAACUGUCUAUGCAGUGUCUACCUACUGUGUCUCCACUGGCACAAAUGCCGUGGGCACACAGCGUAAGCAAAACCUGCAAUUUCGUUGUUUAGCGGAUUAAUACAUAAAUAUUAGCUUUUGUAUGGUAUUAAAUUCGUAUUUAAUUCAGGAAAUAGUUUUAAUUCUUUUACUGAAAACUAUAUUUUCUAGGAAUUGAAAGAAUUUUUUAAGGCCCAUCUACACGACACGACUAGUCGAAUACGAUUCUUAUCCUGGCCACAGAAUAGAAAAUAGAUCUAUUUUCUAUUCUGUGUCCUAGCGUAUGAAAACGAUUGCUGACGCCACUAUUCCUGUUCAUCAGUUUAUGGCGAAGUUUGAAAUGUGACAUUUUUACACGCAUUUAUUCGAAUACAUACGCCAGGAUAAGAAUCGUACACGACUAGUCGUAUCGUGUAGAUAUGCCUUUAGGAUUUUAUAAAAGCUAUAACAGCUAUUUCAAUUAAGGUUGUCCCCCGAGCAAAGCGGAAAAGUCGAAUACGAGCGCGAAAGGCUGCUGGGAAUCGCUAAUAAAUGCAUUCAUUUAAUAGCUUUAAUAAUUCAUUCAUGAAAUAGCUGUAUACAUAUGCGAAGCAAUAUCGCGAUAGUCAUCGAGCAUGACGAUAAUUUCGAUAUAUCGUCGCUCAAGUUUCUACCCAGAAAGAUCCUGGGUAAGAGGCUGGUUUCUAAAUUGAAAAUAUCGCGAUAAAAGAAAAUAUCGCCCAACCCUAAUUAACCGUAAAACGAAAUAAAGGCCAUCAAAAUACCAUAUCCACAUUUUGAAUUCGAAUUACACUGUUUACGAUUUUGUCGAAAACCCAGUCUUCAGUUGAAGUGGAUGCUGUCAAACCGGAAAAAAACCCCGGUAGGUCCAGUGGACAACUUGCAUGUUAGACUAAAUUUUAAUCUAAGUAAAGAGAAGGGAAUCAAACACCACAGCUAAAAAGAACAUAAUGAAAUUAGUAAAAUUGCAAAAUUUGGUUGCGAAAUGUUUGGAAAAUAGUACUUGCAAAUUUUGUAUAUAUGUUUGUAUUACGUCCGGAAAUUGUUACCCGUUUUCGGCUCAAAAAUGGUAACAUUAAGUUCCGCUACAACAUACACCAAAUAUACAAACUUCGCAAGGUUAUAUUUUCCGAUUUAUGCAACAUUUCGUAACCAAAUUUUGACAUUUUACUAAUUUUAAUAAGUUCUGUACGGGAAUUUACUUUUUUUAUCUAGAUCAAAAACGAGUCUAACAUGCAACUUGUCUGUUGGAUGCUUCUUGUUCUGACUGUGUCAAUGUAAUCAUUGCCAUUGGGCUACCACCGGGAUAUAUUUUACAUACAGUUUUAUUUCAUUAUUUUGUCAGACGGCCCUGUAAAAUAUAUUUUAAGUCCUGUAAAAUUAAACGCCAGUAUAUACUCGUUG
This 1554-nucleotide long non-coding RNA is filed under the name Paramuricea clavata. The record is from RNAcentral. Lineage: Eukaryota; Metazoa; Cnidaria; Anthozoa; Malacalcyonacea; Plexauridae.